UGAGUUUGGAAUGAGCUAAGCCUUUCGCAAGAUACAAGAACCGAGAAAAUAAAGGGUAAAUAAUAAAGCUGUCCAAAUGAGCCGAGUGAGUAAAGGAUAAUCGUUUGCAACUGAACAUGUUUUUUCUUGUGUGCAGCAGUGGAAGGUCAUGGCAAGAACAGACUUGGAGGGAGAAGGAGCCAGAAGGGUUUCCUCUGAAAUCUGAAUCAAGUCUGAGGAAGCAGAGACGGCGAAGUGAGGUGAGCCGAGUUCAGAGCACCUCUUCUCGUUGCUUCCCGUCCUUCCUCCUCGGAGGAAACGUGAGAAGACUUCUGCUAACCACCAUGGCUCCGUCAGCUUGCGGCGUCCCGCGGCGCGGCCUCGAAUCGAAGAGAAGAUGCUGUGUUGCUUUAAAGGGGAGACGGGGAGUGGGAGACGUCCCAUGUCAUGCCCUCCACGCUUGGGCUGGAUUCCUGGUGGGUUGCUGGGGACAUGAGGAAAGUGUUCGGCGCAGCUUCGUAACGGCACAUAUCCUUGCAGAAAGAGCACACGGUUCCUCUGAGUCUGAGACCGCGAGACGUGCCAAGGACACAUGUGUGUUCUCGCUUUCUGUUGCCUGCAUGUCCAAUGUGUUUUUGCUCAG
RNAcentral lists this long non-coding RNA (622 nucleotides) under Setaria italica (foxtail millet). RNAcentral describes it as "long non-coding RNA (SITA_LNC005407)". Lineage: Eukaryota; Viridiplantae; Streptophyta; Magnoliopsida; Poales; Poaceae. The record is from RNAcentral.